Molecule: ribosomal RNA, 253 nt
Filed under: uncultured prokaryote
Description: partial 16S ribosomal RNA
Rfam family: Bacterial small subunit ribosomal RNA
Source: RNAcentral
UACGUGGGGGCCGAGCGUUGUCCGGAGUUACUGGGCGUAAAGGGCGCGCAGGCGGCGGCGUGGGUCCGGCGUGAAAGCCCCCGGCUCAACCGAAGAACGUCGGCCGAUACUGCCGUUCUUGAGGGAUGCAGAGGAGAUUGGAAUUCCCGGUGUAGCGGUGAAAUGUGUAGAGAUCGGGAGGAACACCGGUGGCGAAGGCGGGUCUCUGGGCAUCUCCUGACGCUGAGGCGCGAAAGCGUGGGGAGCAAACGGG